GCACUGACUGCUAUCGGAUUGAUACUAAGCCAUGCGAGUCAUUGUAGCAAUACAAGGCAGACGGCUCAGUAACGCGUAGUCACCUAACCUAUGGACGGGAAUAACCUCGGGAAACUGAGAAUAAUGCCCGAUAGAACACUAUAUCUGGAAUGGUUUGUGUUCCAAAUGAUUUAUCGCCGUAGGAUGGGACUGCGGCCUAUCAGUUUGUUGGUGAGGUAAUGGCCCACCAAGACUAUUACAGGUACGGGCUCUGAGAGGAGUAGCCCGGAGAUGGGUACUGAGACACGGACCCAGGCCCUAUGGGGCGCAGCAGGCGAGAAAACUUUGCAAUGUGCGAAAGCACGACAAGGUUAAUCCGAGUGGUUUCUGCUAAAGGAACCUUUUGUCGGUCCUAGAAACACCGAUGAAUAAGGGGUGGGCAAGUUCUGGUGUCAGCCGCCGCGGUAAAACCAGCACCUCAAGUGGUCAGGAUGAUUAUUGGGCCUAAAGCAUCCGUAGCCUGCUUUGUUAGUUUUCGGUUAAAUCUAUACGCUCAACGUAUAGGCUGCCGGGAAUACUGCAAAGCUAGGGAGUGGGAGAGGUAGACGGUAUUCGUAGGAAGGGGUAAAA
RNAcentral lists this ribosomal RNA (609 nucleotides) under uncultured marine archaeon. RNAcentral's name for it is "bacterial SSU rRNA". It matches the Rfam family "Archaeal small subunit ribosomal RNA", at positions 20 to 637 of the family's 1478-position model. The record is from RNAcentral.